GGGGUUGUAACUCAGUGGUAGAGUGUUCGAUUUACAUGCGAAAAGCCCGGAGUUCAAUCCUCCGCAACUCCA
RNAcentral lists this transfer RNA (72 nucleotides) under Daphnia pulex (common water flea). It matches the Rfam family "tRNA". Rfam says of the family: Transfer RNA (tRNA) molecules are approximately 80 nucleotides in length. Their secondary structure includes four short double-helical elements and three loops (D, anti-codon, and T loops). The record is from Rfam by way of RNAcentral. Lineage: Eukaryota; Metazoa; Arthropoda; Branchiopoda; Diplostraca; Daphniidae.